GCAUAUCAAUAAGCGGAGGAAAAGAAACUAACAAGGAUUCCCCUAGUAACUGCGAGUGAAGCGGGAAAAGCUCAAAUUUAAAAUCUGGCGGUCUUUGGCCGUCCGAGUUGUAGUCUGGAGAAGUGCUUUCCGCGCUGGACCGUGUACAAGUCUCCUGGAAUGGAGCGUCAUAGAGGGUGAGAAUCCCGUCUUUGACACGGACUACCAGUGCUUUGUGAUGCGCUCUCAAAGAGUCGAGUUGUUUGGGAAUGCAGCUCAAAAUGGGUGGUGAAUUCCAUCUAAAGCUAAAUAUUGGCGAGAGACCGAUAGCGAACAAGUACCGUGAGGGAAAGAUGAAAAGCACUUUGGAAAGAGAGUUAAACAGUACGUGAAAUUGUUGAAAGGGAAACGCUUGAAGUCAGUCGCGUCCGCCAGAACUCAGCCUUGCAAUCUUGCCUGGUGUACUUUCUGGUGGACGGGCCAGCAUCAAUUUCGACUGCCGGACAAGGGCUGGGGGAAUGUGGCACCUUCGGGUGUGUUAUAGCCCUCAGUCGUAUACGGUGGUUGGGAUUGAGGAAUUCAGCAUGCCUUUAUGGUCGGGGUUCGCCCACGUUCAUGCUUAGGAUGCUGGCGUAAUGGCUUUAAACGACCCGUCUUGAAACACGGACCAAGGAGUCUAACAUGCCCGCGAGUGUUCGGGUGGAAAACCCGUGCGCGUAAUGAAAGUGAAAGUUGGGACCUCUGUUAUGGAGGGCACCGACGCCCGGACCAGACCUUCUGUGACGGAUCUGCGGUAGAGCGUGUAUGUUGGGACCCGAAAGAUGGUGAACUAUGCCUGAAUAGGGUGAAGCCAGAGGAAACUCUGGUGGAGGCUCGUAGCGAUUCUGACGUGCAAAUCGAUCGUCAAAUUUGGGUAUAGGGGCGAAAGACUAAUCGAACCAUCUAGUAGCUGGUUCCUGCCGAG
This 943-nucleotide ribosomal RNA is filed under the name Hericium erinaceus (lion's mane mushroom). RNAcentral describes it as "LSU rRNA". It matches the Rfam family "Eukaryotic large subunit ribosomal RNA", at positions 38 to 965 of the family's 3401-position model. Lineage: Eukaryota; Fungi; Basidiomycota; Agaricomycetes; Russulales; Hericiaceae. The record is from RNAcentral.